This 3217-nucleotide unclassified non-coding RNA is filed under the name Hevea brasiliensis (rubber tree). The record is from RNAcentral. Lineage: Eukaryota; Viridiplantae; Streptophyta; Magnoliopsida; Malpighiales; Euphorbiaceae.
UUUUUUUUUUUAAUUAUUUGUGUCAGAUGAUGAUGAAUCAGAAUUAUUAAUCAUGGAUUUGCCUGUAGAAUUAUAAAUGAGAACCACAAAUAACAAAUGGAUUAUUGUCCAUUAAGUAACAAUCGAACUCCAACCCAAAAAGAACAAACCAUAGAAUGAUAACGUGACCAAGAUUUCGAUUCCAGGAAAGGCGAGCGAGAGAGGAUGAUGAAUUUUAAUAAAUUACUAACCUUAAAUGGCUAGCUUCAUACAAUUUGUGCAGCAGAAAUACUUGGAGAAUGAUGGAUAACUAAAUGAGACAAAUGAAAAAUUAGAAACGACAAAGCCUCAUCAGAAUUGCCAAACCCCAUGGGGAAAAUUCUAUCCUAGGUUGCACUAAACCGAGAACAUGUAAGAGGGGAGAGGGGGGCGAAUUAUCUCACAAUUAAUGCUUUUAUAUACACUACAAUACAACAGAUUUCUAAAGGGCAGAUACCCAAGAAAUUAAAUGGAAGAAAGAAAAUAAAUUAUGGCGGGAAGGAGGAGAGAACAUCAAAAAAAGAUGAGGACAAAAAAAAAGAAAAAAACAGAUGAUGGUUUAGCUUCAUCUUAACCUUGAAUACCCAGUUGUCGAAGUUGCAAAAUGUGUUGAUAAAGAACUUUCCACCCUCCCUUUGUUGCUAAGAUUGGGAAGAGGAUGACAUGGCUCCCUCAGAUCGGCGAGCAGCCUGGCUGGAAACUGAUGAUUUGUCCGAUCCACGAACAUUGUACUUUUCAUACACCUUUUCACGAUUCUCAGACCACCAAGUUUCUGCUUGUUGCUCAUUAAAUCUUCUCCGCCUAAAGCGCACUCGUUUAAGAUCUCUAGUUCCAUCACGCAAGGCCACUAGAGUUAUAUGCACACCAGGUUCAUACCACUCAGCCUCAACUUCAUUACAGCUGCCAACUAAUGUUGAAUCCCUUGAGGUCACACCAUUCUCACCAUCAUUAAGAGAUCUAGAUCCUUCCCAUCAACAGACUCUGACUCAGCACUAAUUGACUGAACCUGUCCGCCGCCAUUGGGCAGUCUUGCAUCUGGAUGGUAAUGUCUUCCAUUGGUUGGAGUUGGAUCCAGGAAUGAAGGAUCUGGACCCUGAGCUCCGUUUGACAAUGUAGAGUCAAUUCCCGUGGGGAAGGCAAAGGAAGUUCCAAAGAGGGAGAUCACUUUCGGAAAUAUAUUGUCAUUCUUCUCGUUCCGUAUUUCUUCUAUGCAUAUAUAUCCUUCAAGAGCUCGAACUAUCUCUUUCAUUUGUGGGCGAGACUCAAAAGGAUUAUAAACACAAACUGCAGCACAAGAAAUCAUCCAUUCCAUUUCACUUCUAUCAUAGCUUUGCAAAUUUGAAUCAACAAAGUCUGUAUAUUGUCCAUUCAAAGCUUGUCUAAUUCGAGCUUUUGCCCAACAAACAAUGUCAAUGCCUUGAUAUUUAGGUUUUCUUCCAGUGAUAAGUUCUAGAAGCACCACGCCGAAAGAAUAGACAUCUGAGUUACUAGAUACCCUUCUGGAAUACUCUGGAUCUAUAUAACUACAAGUAAAAGAUUUGGGUUAAGAAAUGUUUCAAGAAAAUGAAAAUCCUUGCUUAGAGAAGCCUGAAUUAAUGAGUUUUUCUUGGUUAUAAUUGUAUUUUUUUUUUACACUACCAGAAAAAUAAAAAUUAAUCAUGAAAAGAAAAUGUCCUAUAAUGCCACAUAUAGAUCAUAAUGCGACCUAAUUCUUCUCUAGUAUGGACGAAAAAUAUAAUCAUUUUAUCUCUAAUUUCUAGUUUUCUUAUAGUGUUAUUAUUCCACAUAUAGAUCAUAAGACCACCUAAAAAAACACCAUAAUAGCAAUGUAAUUAAGUAAUAAGAAAAAUUAAUUGUAUCUUACACUUCAGUUCCUGCAAUGGAUCUUGAGAUAUGAGUAACAGUAUUCGGAAAAAAUAAGGCAAGUCCAAAAUCCGUAAUCUAAACAAAAUUAUCCAAAUACAUUAGUGGAUCUAUUGUGCCACAAAUAAUAUAAUUUGGCAUCAAAUAAAAAAAAAUGAUAAAAAUAUUACUUAUGAAUUACAUCCAAUUAUGAAAUCUAACUCCAAUUUUUCAUUAUAGGAUAUAACUAAUUAUAUAGGUAACACUUUUGUUUGUAAUUAAAUUAUACAUCUCACAUUUGGUUCAAAAUUGAUAUCGAGAAGAAUGUUAUCUGAUUUGAUAUCUCGAUGAAUAAUCUUAGGAGAUGCUGAAGACAUAAAUAUUGUGAGAAGAAUCAAUAGCUCUAUUAAAAUCCUAUAAAAUUUCAAGCAGUGAUCGGUUACUCACAGUGCUCAUGCAGAUAUUCCAAUCCUUUUGCAGGGCCUAUGGCAAUUUUCCUUAUUGUUGGCCAAUCCAAAAUCUCCUUUCCUCCUCCAUGUAAAUGAAGUCUAAGGAUUUAUUGAGAUGAUACUCUAAAACAAGCAAUGCAUUGGCUCCUUCAAUGCAGUAGCCGAGCAGCUUAACAAGAUCACAGUGACAAACACUGCUUAUGACUGCAAUCUCAUGGACCAAUUAUUCUCUGGUCUGUUCCUGGAAAUAGUGAGGUUUCUUAAUAGCAAGGAUUUCACCGUGUAGGGUACCCUUAAAGACUUGAUCAAAACCACCCUGGCCAAGGAUGUAGUCGUUGGAGAAAUGACCAGUUGCUUUUGAUAGUUGUUCAUAACUAUAUUGUGUUGGCCCAAUAUUACUGGGCAUUCCCGAGGGAAAAGCCGUCAAAAGCCUUUCACCGGAUCCAUUCGCCGGGUCAUCUUUCGGACGGGGUUUAAUAACACUGGUUUGUACAGAGGCGCUCAGGCUCCCAUUGUCGGACACAGAAGCUAUGGGUGAAGAACCUUCCUCUGACCCUUCUCGAACUGAUGAUGGUGGUCUAGGAGGAGCAACAUAAACAACCUUCAAUUUGCAGUCUUCAACAUGAUGCCCUGCCUCUUUAUUGAACAUCUCUGCAUUGACAUCCUUUGCAGUAGCUCCAGGACUUGCAACGACACUCCGAAGUAAAAACAUGUCCUUGCAUUGCAUAUCAGGAGCCGCCUCCGUUUGUGCUUGCAUUGUAACUCUAACAUCACAAGUGGACCUUGGCGGCACAACCCCAGCAUUAGGCCUAACACGGUACUGUUUUGGAUUCGUCGUCAUAACCUUGAAAGCCACAUAAUUUUCGCUCUUAUUUAACAGGUGUAGGGAACAAGAGAUCUGCUUCCUC